This is a long non-coding RNA of Mus caroli (Ryukyu mouse), 479 nucleotides long. RefSeq lists it as uncharacterized. NCBI's taxonomy places the organism in Eukaryota, Metazoa, Chordata, Mammalia, Rodentia, Muridae. The record is from RefSeq and is a predicted model, not a curated record.
UGUUCCUGAGACCACUGUCUUCCGAUGGCUCACUUGUCACAGGCAGUCUAGAGGGUUAGAGAUGACCUCUCCCCUCUGAAAGCUGUCAGACGCUGUGUGUUUUCCUAAGUGUAGAGCCAGGUAACCCAGAAGUGCCGCCAACAUACCUCUUUGGGAGAGAGGAUCUGCCAGUGUGCAGAAGAAGCCCGAUGCAAUGGAAAGAAAGAUAUCCAGGGUGGAUGGCAGAUGAAAGCAGGCCUGAGAUGAGGCUAAAAGGGCCAACAAGAGCCAGGAGGUGGAGCAACAUGGCCUUUAGUGUCUGGCAAGGAUCUCAGGAUAGCAGCUUAGUACUUUGUGAAGCUAUGGAGCACGUGACUCACCCACCUAAUACAGCUCAGAACUGAUUGCCUUCCUACAACCCAUUAGCAGAUCUUGAACAUCAGUUCGCUUGGUAGCAGACAGUGUUUUAAAGAAGAUGGAAUAAAGUAAUAAAGUAUGGU